ACUGGUUCUUCCACCAUGAAAACACACUUACCCACAUAACAUUGACUGUUCAGCAGUUUUAAACCAAAAAUGGCAUGACCUCUGUGCCCCACCCUCCAUAUUCUACCAAUCUCACUCCAAGCAACUUCUCUUUGUUUCCCUGGAAGAAAAACAUCCUUGAAGAGAAACGCUUGGCAGAUGUGGAAGAGGACUUGAACAUGAUGUGAGAAGGCCGGAAGGGACACAUGCAGUUUCCUCCUUCAGAAAAGUUGCUGACCUGAAGAUAACUGCAUAUGGCAGCUAAAAGUAGAGGUAGAAAUGUCAGUCAGAGGAAGCCUGCAGUUGACCCACAAGGACUUGCUGUAUUUCCUUCCAGGUUCACAGUCUCAAGCACUCUCCACAUAUGUUGAUAUUAGUGUAGUGUGUAUGAAACAGGAAAGGAAACAAUGGGAUAUUUUGUUUGAAAUUGCCUUCUAUUGUGGAUUUAAUAUCAAUACAGAUUUCUGUCAUUUAA
Molecule: long non-coding RNA, 493 nt
Organism: Carlito syrichta (Philippine tarsier)
Lineage: Eukaryota; Metazoa; Chordata; Mammalia; Primates; Tarsiidae
Exons: 2
Source: RefSeq, a predicted model, not a curated record